GGGCACUUGUUAGGUAAAUAAUUUGAUUACUUUUUUUUUUUGAGAAAAAAAUAAUUUGACUACUUCAUAUAUAAUCGAAUGACAGUGAUGAUUUCCACUUUGGUUUUUAAGAUUUUCAUCUGCAAAAAGACUGAGAUUUUAAAACUAAUUUAAAUAUAUUCUCACAAUCCGGUUUUCAUAAAAUUGAACAUAUAUUUUUUCAUUAGGGAAUUGGUCCAAACUCCACCAGUUUACAAAAAAAGAAAAAAAAAGAGCAUAAAUUUUUCAUUCACAUUAAUUUCAUUUAAUUUGCCAUUUAUGGAUUAUAAUGCCUAUCAGCAACAUCAAAUUUUAAAGAAUAUGGACCAUCUUAUACUUAUCAGCUUCGAUUAAACGAAAACCAUAUGUUGAACAAAAAAAGUUACCAUAAUGGUUUUUUUG
This 420-nucleotide long non-coding RNA is filed under the name Brassica napus (rape). RNAcentral's name for it is "long non-coding RNA (BNAP_LNC014127)". Lineage: Eukaryota; Viridiplantae; Streptophyta; Magnoliopsida; Brassicales; Brassicaceae. The record is from RNAcentral.